GAUGAAGAACGUAGUGAAAUGCGAUAAGUAAUGUGAAUUGCAGAAUUCAGUGAAUCAUCGAAUCUUUGAACGCACAUUGCGCCCGCCAGUAUUCUGGCGGGCAUGCCUGUUCGAGCGUCAUUUCAACCAUCAAGCCCUGCUUGCGUUGGGGUCCUGCGGCUGCCCGCAGGCCCUGAAAACCAGUGGCGGGCUCGCUAGUCACACCGAGCGCAGUAAUACAUCUCGCUUUGGGCGUGCGGCGGGUUCUUGCCGUUAAACACCCCCUUUUUACCAAGGUUGACCUCGGAUCAGGUAGGAAUACCCGCUGAACUUAAGCAUAUCAAAAGCGGAGGA
Molecule: unclassified non-coding RNA, 333 nt
Filed under: soil metagenome
Description: partial contains 5.8S ribosomal RNA, internal transcribed spacer 2, and large subunit ribosomal RNA
Rfam family: 5.8S ribosomal RNA (bases 1-120)
Source: RNAcentral